This 502-nucleotide ribosomal RNA is filed under the name uncultured bacterium. RNAcentral describes it as "bacterial SSU rRNA". It matches the Rfam family "Bacterial small subunit ribosomal RNA", at positions 8 to 502 of the family's 1533-position model. The record is from RNAcentral.
AGAGUUUGAUCCUGGCUCAGAUUGAACGCUGGCGGCAGGCUUAACACAUGCAAGUCGAGCGGAAACGAUGGGAGCUUGCUCCCAGGCGUCGAGCGGCGGACGGGUGAGUAACGCGUAGGAAUCUACCCAGUAGAGGGGGAUAGCCCGGGGAAACCCGGAUUAAUACCGCAUACGCCCUAAGGGGGAAAGGCCGGGAUCUUCGGACCGGUCACUAUUGGAUGAGCCUGCGUGAGAUUAGCUAGUUGGUGGGGUAAAGGCCUACCAAGGCGACGAUCUCUAGCUGGUCUGAGAGGAUGAUCAGCCACACUGGAACUGAGACACGGUCCAGACUCCUACGGGAGGCAGCAGUGGGGAAUAUUGGACAAUGGGCGCAAGCCUGAUCCAGCCAUGCCGCGUGUGUGAAGAAGGCCUUCGGGUUGUAAAGCACUUUCAGUAGGGAGAAAGGGUUUAAGGUUAAUAGCCUUGAACAUUGAUGUUACCUACAGAAGCAGCACCGCUAACU